Molecule: ribosomal RNA, 2933 nt
Filed under: Escherichia coli
Lineage: Bacteria; Pseudomonadati; Pseudomonadota; Gammaproteobacteria; Enterobacterales; Enterobacteriaceae
Description: 23S ribosomal RNA
Rfam family: Bacterial large subunit ribosomal RNA
Source: RNAcentral
GGGUUGUGAGGUUAAGCGACUAAGCGUACACGGUGGAUGCCCUGGCAGUCAGAGGCGAUGAAGGACGUGCUAAUCUGCGAUAAGCGUCGGUAAGGUGAUAUGAACCGUUAUAACCGGCGAUUUCCGAAUGGGGAAACCCAGUGUGUUUCGACACACUAUCAUUAACUGAAUCCAUAGGUUAAUGAGGCGAACCGGGGGAACUGAAACAUCUAAGUACCCCGAGGAAAAGAAAUCAACCGAGAUUCCCCCAGUAGCGGCGAGCGAACGGGGAGCAGCCCAGAGCCUGAAUCAGUAUGUGUGUUAGUGGAAGCGUCUGGAAAGGCGCGCGAUACAGGGUGACAGCCCCGUACACAAAAAUGCACAUAUUGUGAGCUCGAUGAGUAGGGCGGGACACGUGGUAUCCUGUCUGAAUAUGGGGGGACCAUCCUCCAAGGCUAAAUACUCCUGACUGACCGAUAGUGAACCAGUACCGUGAGGGAAAGGCGAAAAGAACCCCGGCGAGGGGAGUGAAAAAGAACCUGAAACCGUGUACGUACAAGCAGUGGGAGCACGCUUAGGCGUGUGACUGCGUACCUUUUGUAUAAUGGGUCAGCGACUUAUAUUCUGUAGCAAGGUUAACCGAAUAGGGGAGCCGAAGGGAAACCGAGUCUUAACUGGGCGUUAAGUUGCAGGGUAUAGACCCGAAACCCGGUGAUCUAGCCAUGGGCAGGUUGAAGGUUGGGUAACACUAACUGGAGGACCGAACCGACUAAUGUUGAAAAAUUAGCGGAUGACUUGUGGCUGGGGGUGAAAGGCCAAUCAAACCGGGAGAUAGCUGGUUCUCCCCGAAAGCUAUUUAGGUAGCGCCUCGUGAAUUCAUCUCCGGGGGUAGAGCACUGUUUCGGCAAGGGGGUCAUCCCGACUUACCAACCCGAUGCAAACUGCGAAUACCGGAGAAUGUUAUCACGGGAGACACACGGCGGGUGCUAACGUCCGUCGUGAAGAGGGAAACAACCCAGACCGCCAGCUAAGGUCCCAAAGUCAUGGUUAAGUGGGAAACGAUGUGGGAAGGCCCAGACAGCCAGGAUGUUGGCUUAGAAGCAGCCAUCAUUUAAAGAAAGCGUAAUAGCUCACUGGUCGAGUCGGCCUGCGCGGAAGAUGUAACGGGGCUAAACCAUGCACCGAAGCUGCGGCAGCGACGCUUAUGCGUUGUUGGGUAGGGGAGCGUUCUGUAAGCCUGCGAAGGUGUGCUGUGAGGCAUGCUGGAGGUAUCAGAAGUGCGAAUGCUGACAUAAGUAACGAUAAAGCGGGUGAAAAGCCCGCUCGCCGGAAGACCAAGGGUUCCUGUCCAACGUUAAUCGGGGCAGGGUGAGUCGACCCCUAAGGCGAGGCCGAAAGGCGUAGUCGAUGGGAAACAGGUUAAUAUUCCUGUACUUGGUGUUACUGCGAAGGGGGGACGGAGAAGGCUAUGUUGGCCGGGCGACGGUUGUCCCGGUUUAAGCGUGUAGGCUGGUUUUCCAGGCAAAUCCGGAAAAUCAAGGCUGAGGCGUGAUGACGAGGCACUACGGUGCUGAAGCAACAAAUGCCCUGCUUCCAGGAAAAGCCUCUAAGCAUCAGGUAACAUCAAAUCGUACCCCAAACCGACACAGGUGGUCAGGUAGAGAAUACCAAGGCGCUUGAGAGAACUCGGGUGAAGGAACUAGGCAAAAUGGUGCCGUAACUUCGGGAGAAGGCACGCUGAUAUGUAGGUGAAGUCCCUUGCGGAUGGAGCUGAAAUCAGUCGAAGAUACCAGCUGGCUGCAACUGUUUAUUAAAAACACAGCACUGUGCAAACACGAAAGUGGACGUAUACGGUGUGACGCCUGCCCGGUGCCGGAAGGUUAAUUGAUGGGGUUAGCCGCAAGGCGAAGCUCUUGAUCGAAGCCCCGGUAAACGGCGGCCGUAACUAUAACGGUCCUAAGGUAGCGAAAUUCCUUGUCGGGUAAGUUCCGACCUGCACGAAUGGCGUAAUGAUGGCCAGGCUGUCUCCACCCGAGACUCAGUGAAAUUGAACUCGCUGUGAAGAUGCAGUGUACCCGCGGCAAGACGGAAAGACCCCGUGAACCUUUACUAUAGCUUGACACUGAACAUUGAGCCUUGAUGUGUAGGAUAGGUGGGAGGCUUUGAAGUGUGGACGCCAGUCUGCAUGGAGCCGACCUUGAAAUACCACCCUUUAAUGUUUGAUGUUCUAACGUUGACCCGUAAUCCGGGUUGCGGACAGUGUCUGGUGGGUAGUUUGACUGGGGCGGUCUCCUCCUAAAGAGUAACGGAGGAGCACGAAGGUUGGCUAAUCCUGGUCGGACAUCAGGAGGUUAGUGCAAUGGCAUAAGCCAGCUUGACUGCGAGCGUGACGGCGCGAGCAGGUGCGAAAGCAGGUCAUAGUGAUCCGGUGGUUCUGAAUGGAAGGGCCAUCGCUCAACGGAUAAAAGGUACUCCGGGGAUAACAGGCUGAUACCGCCCAAGAGUUCAUAUCGACGGCGGUGUUUGGCACCUCGAUGUCGGCUCAUCACAUCCUGGGGCUGAAGUAGGUCCCAAGGGUAUGGCUGUUCGCCAUUUAAAGUGGUACGCGAGCUGGGUUUAGAACGUCGUGAGACAGUUCGGUCCCUAUCUGCCGUGGGCGCUGGAGAACUGAGGGGGGCUGCUCCUAGUACGAGAGGACCGGAGUGGACGCAUCACUGGUGUUCGGGUUGUCAUGCCAAUGGCACUGCCCGGUAGCUAAAUGCGGAAGAGAUAAGUGCUGAAAGCAUCUAAGCACGAAACUUGCCCCGAGAUGAGUUCUCCCUGACUCCUUGAGAGUCCUGAAGGAACGUUGAAGACGACGACGUUGAUAGGCCGGGUGUGUAAGCGCAGCGAUGCGUUGAGCUAACCGGUACUAAUGAACCGUGAGGCUUAACCUUACAACGCCGAAGGUGUUU